RNAcentral lists this ribosomal RNA (253 nucleotides) under uncultured bacterium. Its description in RNAcentral is "partial 16S ribosomal RNA". It matches the Rfam family "Bacterial small subunit ribosomal RNA", at positions 524 to 776 of the family's 1533-position model. The record is from RNAcentral.
UACGUAGGUGGCGAGCGUUAUCCGGAAUUACUGGGCGUAAAGCGCACGCAGGCGGUUUCUUAAGUUUGACGUGAAAACUCCUGGCUUAACUGGGAGAGGUCGUUGAAGACUGGGGAACUUGAGGCAAUGAGAGGGAUGUAGAAUUCACGGUGUAGUGGUGGAAUGCGUAGAUAUCGUGAGGAAUACCAGUGGCGAAAGCGGCUAACUGGUCCAGUACUGACGCUGAGGUGCGAAAGCGUGGGGAGCAAACAGG